AGCGAACGCUGGCGGCAGGCCUAACACAUGCAAGUCGAACGACCCUUUCGGGGUUAGUGGCGGACGGGUGAGUAACACGUGGGAACGUGCCUUUAGGUUCGGAAUAACUCAGGGAAACUUGUGCUAAUACCGAGUGUGCCCUUCGGGGGAAAGAUUUAUCGCAUUUAGGGCGGCCCGCGUCUGUCUAGCUAGUUGGUUGAGGUAAUGGCUCACCAAGGCGACGAUCAGUAGCUGGUCUGAGAGGAUGAUCAGCCACAUUGGGACUGAGACACGGCCCAAACUCCUACGGGAGGCAGCAGUGGGGAAUCUUGCGCAAUGGGCGAAAGCCUGACGCAGCCAUGCCGCGUGAAUGAUGAAGGUCUUAGGAUUGUAAAAUUCUUUCACCGGGGACGAUAAUGACGGUACCCGGAGAAGAAGCCCCGGCUAACUUCGUG
Molecule: ribosomal RNA, 434 nt
Filed under: uncultured bacterium
Lineage: Bacteria
Description: partial 16S ribosomal RNA
Rfam family: Bacterial small subunit ribosomal RNA
Source: RNAcentral